UAGAGUUUGAUCCUGGCUCAGGACGAACGCUGGCGGCGUGCCUAAUACAUGCAAGUCGAACGAACUCUGGUAUUGAUUGGUGCUUGCAUCAUGAUUUACAUUUGAGUGAGUGGCGAACUGGUGAGUAACACGUGGGUAACCUGCCCAGAAGAGGGGGAUAACACCUGGAAACAGAUGCUAAUACCGCAUAACAACUUGGACCGCAUGGUCCGAGUUUGGAAGAUGGCUUCGGCUAUCACUUUUGGAUGGUCCCGCGGCGUAUUAGCUAGAUGGUGAGGUAACGGCUCACCAUGGCAAUGAUACGUAGCCGACCUGAGAGGUAAAUCGUCCACAUUGGGACUGAGACACGGCCCUAACUCCUACGGGAGUCAGCAGUAGGGAAUCUUCCACAAUGGACGAAAGUCUGAUGGAGCAACGCCGCGUGAGUGAAGAAGGUUUUCGGCUCGUUAUACUCUAUUGUUAAAGAAGAACAUAUCUGAGAGUAACUGUUCAGGUAUUGACGGUAUUUAACCAGAAAGCCACGGCUAACUACGUGCCAGCAGCCGCGGUAAUACGUAGGUGGCAAGCGUUGUCCGGAUUUAUUGGGCGUAAAGCGAGCGCAGGCGGUUUUUUAAGUCUGAUGUGAAAGCCUUCGGCUCAACCGAAGAAGUGCAUCGGAAACUGGGAAACUUGAGUGCAGAAGAGGACAGUGGAACUCCAUGUGUAUCGGUGAAAUGCGUAGAUAUAUGGAAGAACACCAGUGGCGAAGGCGGCUGUCUGGUCUGUAACUGACGCUGAGGCUCGAAAGUAUGGGUAGCAAACAGGAUUAGAUACACUGGUAGUCCAUACCGUAAACGAUGAAUGCUAAGUGUUGGAGGGUUUCCGCCCUUCAGUGCUGCAGCUAACGCAUUAAGCAUUCCGUCUCUGGGGAGUACGUCCGUCAAGGCUGAUACUCUUAA
Molecule: ribosomal RNA, 938 nt
Filed under: uncultured Lactobacillus sp.
Lineage: Bacteria; Bacillati; Bacillota; Bacilli; Lactobacillales; Lactobacillaceae
Description: bacterial SSU rRNA
Rfam family: Bacterial small subunit ribosomal RNA
Source: RNAcentral